This 429-nucleotide ribosomal RNA is filed under the name Bacteroidota bacterium. RNAcentral describes it as "Bacteroidetes bacterium partial 16S ribosomal RNA". It matches the Rfam family "Bacterial small subunit ribosomal RNA", at positions 355 to 776 of the family's 1533-position model. The record is from RNAcentral. Lineage: Bacteria; Pseudomonadati; Bacteroidota.
UAGGGAAUCUUCCGCAAUGGACGCAAGUCUGACGGAGCAACGCCGCGUGAGUGAAGAAGGAUCUCGGUUCGUAAAACUCUGUUGUUAGAGAAGAACAGCGCAUAGAGUAACUGUUAUGCGUGUGACGGUAUCUAACCAGAAAGCCACGGCUAACUACGUGUCAGCAGCCGCGGUACUACGUAGGUGGCAAGCGUUGUCCGGAUUUAUUGGGCGUAAAGCGAGCGCAGGCGGUCAAUUAAGUCUGAUGUGAAAGCCCCCGGCAAAACCGGAAAGGGUCAUUGGAAACUGUUUGACUUGAGUGCAGGAGAGGAGAGUGAAUUUCCAUGUGUAGCGGUAAGAUGCAUAGAUAUAUAAGGUAACACCAGUGGCAAGGGCGACUCUCGGGUCUGUAACUGACGCUGAGGCUCGAAAGCGUGGAUAGCAAACAAG